This 279-nucleotide ribosomal RNA is filed under the name uncultured Syntrophus sp. Its description in RNAcentral is "partial 16S ribosomal RNA". It matches the Rfam family "Bacterial small subunit ribosomal RNA", at positions 1101 to 1382 of the family's 1533-position model. The record is from RNAcentral. Lineage: Bacteria; Pseudomonadati; Thermodesulfobacteriota; Syntrophia; Syntrophales; Syntrophaceae.
AACCUUGUCUUUAAUUACCAGCAUUCAGUUGGGUACUUUAAGAGACUGCCGGUGUUAAAGCCGGAGGAGGUGGGAUGACGUCAAGUCCUCAUGGCCUUUAUGCCCAGGGCUACACACGUGCUACAAUGGGUGGUACAAAGAGCAGCGACCUCGCGAGAGUAAGCAAAUACUCAAAAAGCCAUCCUCAGUUCGGAUUGAAGUCUGCAACUCGACUUCAUGAAGUCGGAAUCGCUAGUAAUCGCGGAUCAGCGUGCCGCGGUGAAUACGUUCCCGGGCCUU